AGCGCGUGGAUGCGAAGCAUCCACUACACUUUAUAAAAGUGCUAACACUUUUGAAGGCUGGAAGAGAAAAUUUGACCCGAGUGGCAAACGGGUGAGUAACGCGUAGACAACCUGCCUCUCAGAUGGGGACAACAUCCCGAAAGGGGUGCUAAUACCGAAUGUUGUGCAACUUCCACAUGGAGGAUGCACCAAAGGUGGUUUCGGCCACCGCUGAGAGAUGGGUCUGCGUCUGAUUAGCUUGUUGGCGGGGUAACGGCCCACCAAGGCGACGAUCAGUAGCCGGUCUGAGAGGAUGAACGGCCACAUUGGAACUGAGACACGGUCCAGACUCCUACGGGAGGCAGCAGUGGGGAAUCUUCCGCAAUGGGCGCAAGCCUGACGGAGCAACGCCGCGUGAGUAAAGAAGGAUUUCGGCUCGUAAAGCUCUGUUGAAGGGGACGAACGGUAGGCAUAGGAAAUGAUGCUUAUUUGACGGUACCUUUCGAGGAAGCCACGGCUAACUACGUG
This 507-nucleotide ribosomal RNA is filed under the name uncultured bacterium. Its description in RNAcentral is "bacterial SSU rRNA". It matches the Rfam family "Bacterial small subunit ribosomal RNA", at positions 65 to 507 of the family's 1533-position model. The record is from RNAcentral.